This 253-nucleotide ribosomal RNA is filed under the name uncultured bacterium. Its description in RNAcentral is "partial 16S ribosomal RNA". It matches the Rfam family "Bacterial small subunit ribosomal RNA", at positions 524 to 776 of the family's 1533-position model. The record is from RNAcentral.
CACGUAGGGCGCAAGCGUUGUCCGGAAUUAUUGGGCGUAAAGAGCUCGUAGGUGGUUUGUUACGUCUGCUGUGAAAACCUAGGGCUUAACCCUGGGCUUGCAGUGGAUACGGGCAGACUAGAGGUAGGUAGGGGAGAAUGGAAUUCCUGGUGUAGCGGUGAAAUGCGCAGAUAUCAGGAGGAACACCGGUGGCGAAGGCAAUCCCCUGGACCUGUACUGACGCUCAUGCACGAAAGCGUGGGGAGCAAACAGG